This 496-nucleotide ribosomal RNA is filed under the name Pandoraea sp. HA-OP28. RNAcentral describes it as "bacterial SSU rRNA". It matches the Rfam family "Bacterial small subunit ribosomal RNA", at positions 966 to 1502 of the family's 1533-position model. The record is from RNAcentral. Lineage: Bacteria; Pseudomonadati; Pseudomonadota; Betaproteobacteria; Burkholderiales; Burkholderiaceae.
CUUCCUACCCUUGCAUGUACGGAUCCUGCUGAGGGUGGGAGUCUCGAAAGAUACCGUAACACAGGUGCUGCAUGGUGUCKUCAGUCGUGUCGUGAGAUGUUGGGUUAAGUCCCGCAACGAGCCAACCCUUGUCUUAGUUGCUACCAGAGCACUCUAGGGAGACUGCCGGUGACAAACCGGAAGGUGGGCAUGACGUCAAGUCCUCAUGGCCCUUAUGGGUAGGGCUUCACACGUUAUACAAUGGUCGGUACAGAGGGCUGCCAAACCGCGAGGGGCUAACCCCAGAAAACCGAUCGUAGUCCGGAUCGCAGUCUGCAACUCGACUGCGUGAAGCUUUAAUCCCUAGUAAUCCUUUUUCAACAUGUCGAGUGAAUACGUUCCCGUCUUGUACACACCGCCCUACAAUGGGAGCCGGUUUUGCCAGAGAGGGCCUAACCAUAAGGAGGGCGCUUACCACGCAGAUUCAUGACUGGGAAGAAGUCGAACAUGUACCUAG